GAGCUGCGGGAAACUGCAGGUAACACCGGAUACGCACGAGAGUGGAAAGUUUACGCCCUGGGAUGGGCCCGCGUCGGAUUAGGUAGUUGGUGGGGUAACGGCCUACCAAGCCUGCGAUCCGUAACCGGUCUGAGAGGAUGAUCGGUCACACUGGGACUGAGACACGGCCCAGACUCCUACGGGAGGCAGCAGUGGGGAAUCUUGGACAAUGGGGGCAACCCUGAUCCAGCGACGCCGCGUGGGUGAUGAAGGCCUUCGGGUCGUAAAGCCCUUUUGCCGGGGAAGAUGAUGACGGUACCCGGAGAAGAAGCACCGGCUAACUCUGUGCCAGCAGCCGCGGUAAGACAGAGGGUGCUAGCGUUGUUCGGAAUUACUGGGCGUAAAGGGCGCGUAGGCGGCUCGUUUAGUCGGGUGUGAAAUCCCGGGGCUCAACCCCGGAACUGCAUUCGAUACUGGCGGGCUAGAGACCGAGAGAGGUGGGUGGAAUACCCAGUGUAGAGGUGAAAUUCGUAGAUAUUGGGUGGAACACCGGUGGCGAAGGCGGCUCACUGGCUCGGUUCUGACGCUGAGGCGCGAAAGCGUGGGGAGCAAAAGGGAUUA
RNAcentral lists this ribosomal RNA (600 nucleotides) under bacterium enrichment culture clone T44x_EXP-D06_T3-_H06. Its description in RNAcentral is "bacterial SSU rRNA". It matches the Rfam family "Bacterial small subunit ribosomal RNA", at positions 144 to 780 of the family's 1533-position model. The record is from RNAcentral.